This 251-nucleotide ribosomal RNA is filed under the name uncultured prokaryote. RNAcentral's name for it is "partial 16S ribosomal RNA". It matches the Rfam family "Bacterial small subunit ribosomal RNA", at positions 525 to 775 of the family's 1533-position model. The record is from RNAcentral.
ACGUAGGGUGCGAGCGUUAAUCGGAAUUACUGGGCGUAAAGCGUGCGCAGGCGGUUGUGCAAGACAGAUGUGAAAUCCCCGGGCUCAACCUGGGAACUGCAUUUGUGACUGCACGACUGGAGUGCGGCAGAGGGGGAUGGAAUUCCGCGUGUAGCAGUGAAAUGCGUAGAUAUGCGGAGGAACACCGAUGGCGAAGGCAGCCCCCUGAGAUGACACUGACGCUCAUGUACGAAAGCGUGGGUAGCAAACAG